AAAGAUUAAGCCAUGCAUGUCUAAGUAUAAGCAAUUAUACCGUGAAACUGCGAAUGGCUCAUUAAAUCAGUUAUCGUUUAUUUGAUAGUACCUUACUACUUGGAUAACCGUGGUAAUUCUAGAGCUAAUACAUGCUGAAAACCCCAACUUCGGGAGGGGUGUAUUUAUUAGAUAAAAAACCAACGCCCUUCGGGGCUUCUUGGUGAUUCAUGAUAACUUUACGGAUCGCAUGGCCUUGCGCCGGCGACGGUUCAUUCAAAUUUCUGCCCUAUCAACUUUCGAUGGUAAGGUAUUGGCUUACCAUGGUUU
RNAcentral lists this ribosomal RNA (309 nucleotides) under uncultured fungus. RNAcentral describes it as "SSU rRNA". It matches the Rfam family "Eukaryotic small subunit ribosomal RNA", at positions 39 to 352 of the family's 1831-position model. The record is from RNAcentral. Lineage: Eukaryota; Fungi.